UACUUUGGUGGCGACCGGCGCACGGGUGCGUAACGCGUAUGCAACCUACCUUUAACAGGGGCAUAACACUGAGAAAUUGGUACUAAUUCCCCAUAACAUUCGAGAAGGCAUCUUCUUGGGUUAAAAACUCCGGUGGUUAAAGAUGGGCAUGCGUUGUAUUAGCUAGUUGGUGAGGUAACGGCUCACCAAGGCAACGAUACAUAGGGGGACUGAGAGGUUAACCCCCCACAUUGGAACUGAGACACGGUCCAA
Molecule: ribosomal RNA, 252 nt
Filed under: uncultured bacterium
Lineage: Bacteria
Description: partial 16S ribosomal RNA
Rfam family: Bacterial small subunit ribosomal RNA
Source: RNAcentral